GUGAGUCAUCGAAUCUUUGAACGCACAUUGCGCCCGCCAGUAUUCUGGCGGGCAUGCCUGUUCGAGCGUCAUUUCAACCAUCAAGCCCCUGCGCUUGUGUUGGAGCCCUGCGGCUGCCGCAGGCUCCCAAACCCAGUGGCGGGCUCGUCGUCGUACCGAGUGCAGUAAACUUACCACGCUCAGGGCACGCGACGGGUGACCGGCCGUAAAACCCCCCACUUCUCAAGGUUGACCUCGGAUCAGGUAGGAAUACCCGCUGAACUUAAGCAUAUCAAUAAGCGGAGGA
This 286-nucleotide unclassified non-coding RNA is filed under the name Podospora sp. Its description in RNAcentral is "partial contains 5.8S ribosomal RNA, internal transcribed spacer 2, and large subunit ribosomal RNA". The stretch from base 1 to 71 matches the Rfam family "5.8S ribosomal RNA", at positions 84 to 154 of the family's 154-position model. Lineage: Eukaryota; Fungi; Ascomycota; Sordariomycetes; Sordariales; Podosporaceae. The record is from RNAcentral.